This 72-nucleotide transfer RNA is filed under the name Ornithorhynchus anatinus (platypus). It matches the Rfam family "tRNA". From Rfam's summary of the family: Transfer RNA (tRNA) molecules are approximately 80 nucleotides in length. Their secondary structure includes four short double-helical elements and three loops (D, anti-codon, and T loops). Further hydrogen bonds mediate the characteristic L-shaped molecular structure. tRNAs have two regions of fundamental functional importance: the anti-codon, which is responsible for specific mRNA codon recognition, and the 3' end, to which the tRNAs corresponding amino acid is attached (by aminoacyl-tRNA synthetases). tRNAs cope with the degeneracy of the genetic code in two manners: having more than one tRNA (with a specific anti-codon) for a particular amino acid; and 'wobble' base-pairing, i.e. permitting non-standard base-pairing at the 3rd anti-codon position. The record is from Rfam by way of RNAcentral. Lineage: Eukaryota; Metazoa; Chordata; Mammalia; Monotremata; Ornithorhynchidae.
AGCAGCGUGGCUCAGUGGAAAGAGCACGGGCCUGGGAGUCAGAGGUCGUGGGUUCAAAUCCCGGCUCUGCCA